This 460-nucleotide ribosomal RNA is filed under the name uncultured bacterium. Its description in RNAcentral is "partial 16S ribosomal RNA". It matches the Rfam family "Bacterial small subunit ribosomal RNA", at positions 338 to 795 of the family's 1533-position model. The record is from RNAcentral.
CCUACGGGAGGCAGCAGUGAGGAAUAUUGGUCAAUGGGCGCGAGCCUGAACCAGCCAAGUAGCGUGAAGGAUGACUGCCCUACGGGUUGUAAACUUCUUUUAUAAAGGAAUAAAGUGAGGCACGUGAGCCUUUUUGUAUGUACUUUAUGAAUAAGGAUCGGCUAACUCCGUGCCAGCAGCCGCGGUAAUACGGAGGAUCCGAGCGUUAUCCGGCUUUAUUGGGUUUAAAGGGUGCGUAGAGGGGUUGUUAAGUCAGUUGUGAAAGUUUGCGGCUUAACCGUGAAAUUGCAAUUGAUACUGGCAGGCUUGAGUACAGUUGAGGUAGGCGGAAUUCGUGGUGUAGCGGUGAAAUGCUUAGAUAUCACGAAGAACUCCGAUGGCGAAGGCAGCUUACUAAACUGCCACUGACAUUGAUGCUCGAAAGUGUGGGUAUCAAACAGGAUUAGAUACCCGGGUAGUC